Molecule: non-coding RNA, 303 nt
Organism: Vicia faba (fava bean)
Lineage: Eukaryota; Viridiplantae; Streptophyta; Magnoliopsida; Fabales; Fabaceae
Source: the annotation of a GenBank genome assembly
AUGUAUUUUGAGUGUUUGAUGUUUGCAAGUAUUUUGUACUCUGUUAGCAACUGGUUUGGAAUUUCUUCAGUAUUUCCAAAGGAAAGUUUGGCGCAUCUAGAGCUAAUUGAAGGCUUAUUCGGAAGCGGAAGAGCUUUCUCUAAAAGUGUAACUGUGGUGUGGUUUGCUUGCAUUUGGAGCAUAUGGAAAGCAAUAAAUGAUAAAUUAUUCAACAACACUUCCGAUAUGAGUGGAUCAAAUGGCUUAAGAUGUAAAAGGUUGUCAUGGAAUUGGCUGAAUAUCACAUCAAAUCAAACCGUGUAG